GAUAAACGCUGGCGGCGUGCAUGAGACAUGCAAGUCGAACGGACGAUCGAGGCUUGCUUCGAUCGUUAGUGGCGGACGGCUGAGUAACGCGUAGGUGACCUGCCCCGAAGUGGGGAAUAACUGCCCGAAAGGGUGGCUAAUACCGCAUGUGGUGGUGCGUUCAAUCGCACCAGUAAAGCCGCAAGGCGCUUCGGGAGGGGCCUGCGUCCGAUUAGCUCGUUGGUGGGGUAACGGCUCACCAAGGCGACGAUCAGUAGGUGGUCUGAGAGGACGAUCACCCAGACUGGGACUGAGACACGGCCCAGACUCCUACGGGAGGCAGCAGUCGGGAAUUUUGCGCAAUGGACGAAAGUCUGACGCAGCAACGCCGCGUGAGGGAUGACGGCCUCGG
This 391-nucleotide ribosomal RNA is filed under the name uncultured bacterium. RNAcentral's name for it is "bacterial SSU rRNA". It matches the Rfam family "Bacterial small subunit ribosomal RNA", at positions 28 to 420 of the family's 1533-position model. The record is from RNAcentral.